CGAAGCAUCCGACAGCACCAGGACUGUCCCUCCUCUGCUCGAGCUCCUAGUUGCGGCGGCUACCGUGGCGCUGCCACCAAUCCCCACCGGCUGGCCUGCAGGAGCCGCCACGCCACCUCCUUCCGUCGCCGCUGGCCGCCGUCAAGAUUUGUCGUCUCUAGUGAGUCUCCCUUCCGAUUCAUUGCCAACGCCUUCCCCUCGCCCUCCUCGGUUCCAUUGGGCCAACACCCGGGGCUCCCGACGACCACCCCCGCCCGUCGCUACCGUCCUCUGUCGGGCCACCUCUAAACCGCCGCUCCAGCCGUACGAUCCUUGGGUGAGCCUAGUCGCGCCACCAUCUUCCUCACGCACGCGCUGGCCCAAUCCCUGCUUGCUUGCCUGCCUCGCCACCACCACUACGGCCGAGCCGUGGCCGUGCUCCUUGGCCGCGCCUUGAUCUGGUCAGGGGCCGCCUGACCCCCUGGGCCCGACCUCGACACCUCUUCUUCCACCGCCGCCUCCACCAGAGCGCCCAACGACGCCCAGGCGCCGCCUCCAGAUAAUCAAUCGCUGGGCUGCCGCGGCCGUGCUCGUCACAACAUGCGCCGCACCUGGUAUGGCGACUCACUGGGCUGCUCAGCUUGUGCCGUCGCUCCUGAGUCUUCUCCAGUCACCCCCACAGCCUUAUCCUUUCUUUUUUUUGCUUCUCUUCCUCUCGCUUCCUUUGCUGCUCCUCGCAUCUCUGCCCGGUGAGCUCCUUGCUUCCCUACGACGCUUCCGCUUCGUCGCACGCUGCUCCACGCCCUCCUGCCCGGCGAGCUCCUACCACCCUACGGCUUCCUUUGCACGCACGCUGGUCCCCUUCUUCCCUUCGUACGGUACGUUUGCUUCCUUCCCCUUCCUUCCUAGAUCCAUCCGUAUCUAUUUGUGCUUCUUCUCUCACAGGCGCUAUGAAAUCUGCUAUCUGUAUUGCUCACUUAAUUAUGUUCCAUGAAUUGGUAUCUUGGAGUGUAGGUUAAUAUAUUUUUCUAGACUAAUGAGCAAUUAGUUUGACGCUGCAGCCUUCUGCGGCUGAAAACUUUCUUACUUGGGUUUUGCAGGCUGCAAUUACUAAUUUUAAGGUCACUUCUAGGUGCAAGGUAAAGGAUCCGUUGGUUCUAUGUGCUGCUAAGUAGGAUGUGAAGUUGUUGCCGCAUCAUGUUGCAAGUCCCGGUCACUUUCAGGGCAAUUCUUAUGACAUAGUAUUUGCUUUCCAGAUGCAUUUAUGCAAAUGAAAAAAGGCUGAUUAACUUGCCACUGAAGCUGAGGGGAAAAAUAAUUUGAUUCCAGCUACAACAUCUCCAUCAUGGAAACAGAACCGGAGGACUACUUCCCGUGCAAACAAGCAAACUCAAUACACUUAAUCUUGUCUUUUAGGAAUUAACGUCAUAUACCCAUAUGUAUCCAUCUUCCAAUAAGAAAUGGAAACUUUAUGCUCCGAACUUAACAGCACAAUUACUUCGCUAUUGGGAUAAAUUUUAUUUCGCUAG
This is a long non-coding RNA of Panicum virgatum (switchgrass), 1508 nucleotides long. RefSeq lists it as uncharacterized. The record is from RefSeq and is a predicted model, not a curated record. NCBI's taxonomy places the organism in Eukaryota, Viridiplantae, Streptophyta, Magnoliopsida, Poales, Poaceae. The transcript is spliced from 4 exons.